Molecule: ribosomal RNA, 403 nt
Filed under: uncultured bacterium
Lineage: Bacteria
Description: partial 16S ribosomal RNA
Rfam family: Bacterial small subunit ribosomal RNA
Source: RNAcentral
AUUGAACGCUGGCGGCAGGCCUAACACAUGCAAGUCGAGCGAGCGGCGGACGGGUGAGUAAUGUAUGGGGACUGCCCGAUAGAGUGGGGUAACUACUGGAAACGGUAGCUAAAAACGCAUACUAUCGGAUAACCCAUAUGGGAUUAGCUAGUGGGUGGGGUAAUGGCUCACCUAGGCGACGAUCCCUAGCUGGUCUGAGAGGAGGAUCAGCCACACUGGGACGGAGACACGGCCCAGACUCCUACGGAGGCAGCAGUGGGGAAUAUUGGACAAUGGGAGCAAGCCUGAUGCAGCCAUGCCGCGUGUAUGAAGAAGGCCUUAGGGUUGUAAAGUACUUUCGGUAGGGAGGCGGUACCGGAAGAAGAAGCACCGGCUAACUACGUGCCAGCAGCCGCGGUAAUUC